This 253-nucleotide ribosomal RNA is filed under the name uncultured bacterium. Its description in RNAcentral is "partial 16S ribosomal RNA". It matches the Rfam family "Bacterial small subunit ribosomal RNA", at positions 524 to 776 of the family's 1533-position model. The record is from RNAcentral.
UACAGAGGGGGCAAGCGUUAUUCGGAAUUAUUGGGCGUAAAGGGCGCGUAGGCGGUUCUUCAAGUCUCUCGUGAAAUCCCUCGGCUUAACUGAGGACGUGCGGGAGAUACUGAAGGGCUUGAGUCCGGAAGAGGGUGGUGGAAUUCCUGGUGUAGCGGUGAAAUGCGUAGAUAUCGGGAGGAACACCUGUGGCGAAAGCGGCGCACUGGACCACAACUGACGCUGAGGCGCGAAAGCUAGGGGAGCAAACAGG